ACUUAGUGAUGGGAACUAAACUAAAUUUAAAAAGUUAAACUAAAACUAAGUUUCAACUAACAAAAAGUAGUUAAACUAAAAGUUUAUCAUGAAUUUCAAAAUGUAGUUAAACUAAACUAAAGAUUAAUCAUACCAUACAAACCUUUUCAUAACUUUGGGGGGGCGGGAUCUAGACCUAUCUAAAAUCAUUCGACUCUAUGCCUGCAGCUUGAACUAAUUCUUUUAACAUUGUAGAGCAUAAUAACAUCAGUAUUGAGGAAGAUGUUUCUUACAUAAACGUUAAUGCACAAUAAAAUUUAAAAAAAAAGAUGUCUAAAUAAAUAUGUGCGCUUGUAUAUUUGCCUUGAAUUAAAACCUUUACCUGGUACUUUUACAAAAAAAAUUAUAUUAACUUAUUAUUAUACCGGUAAAGUUUAAAAUCUCAUUAAAUAACAGAUUUAGAAUUUCAGAUUUAGAUCUAGUAACGAAAGAUAUAGAAACAAAAUUUUGGAGUGUUAUUUUCUUGUCUGACCACUCAAAAACACUAUUGCAUAACCGUUAAAAGUGUGCAUAGAAAAAACCAUGGGGUGGUCUUGUCACUAUGGGCCGCACACUGCAGUACACUAGACCUACAUGUGUCUAUGUCUAUCUGAUCAGGUUGUCAAAAUCACUGUCUGUUUACUUUUUGGGCAGGAAGGGUGUGUACAAAUUUCAGUGUAAAGAUAGAUCUACGAACAUGCUUGACUAAACAUGGGCCAGUGUGUUAUUUUCUUGUUUGACCACUCAACAUUAAGCAAACACAAUUGCAUAACGUGCAAUGAAAAAAAAAAAACAGGGUAGUCUUGUAGUAUCAUUGACUACACAUGUACAGUACACUAGGCCUACAGACUGUUAAAAUCAGUCGGACACAGUCUAUUUACUUUUUGGUCUGGGAGGGUAUGGAUUAGGAUGUUGUUUUUUUCUAGAGUUCAUUAUGCUAAUGCUUUUAGAUCUAUAAUUGAGACAUAGAUCUCAAUAAUAAGUCUUAAGACUAGAAUCUAUUAUAUGUCUCUGCUUCAUCAAAGGUUUAAGCUAUAAAAAGGUUGUACUUGAUGUUCCUGCAGAGAAUGAAUUGACUAAAACUACUAAAUAUUGACCUAACUCGCUAAUCAGAUUCCCACUAUAAACAGAAAUUAAACACCAGAACAUGAUUUUAGAAAAAACUCGGAACAACUCUAUUCAUAAUAUUGCAUAAAAGCUUUUGGUAAACAAAUGUUUAGCAACAUUUAAUACUACUGCUAGUUUCAAGUGCAGAUAUUGACUCACGGGUAGCUUCUACUUUACCCUCUUCAAAUGCAGACUGACAAAAUAGUUGUUAACUGCAUCACUCUUUGAUAAUCAAAGGUUGUUGAUAUCACAAGACCAGAAAACUGGGAUGUGCUUUUCAACCGCUACUACAUGUUGAAAAUUUUACAAAUUUUAAUUAAACAUUUUAGUUUGUAACUAAAAAAAAUAAUUAAACUAUGAUUUUAACUAAACUAUUUUUUUCUAGUUAAACUUUGGCCUUAAUUAAUUUGUUUUAGUUAAACUAAAAGUUUCUAGCUUUUUAAUUAACUCUUGCACAGUGAUAUAUAAUGUCUGAUUAGAUUUAAGUAGAUCUAGAUAUAGAUAGAUCUAGAUCUAAUGAGACUAAUAAAAGUCCAACUACAAGUCUAGAUUUAUCUAGAGUUCUAAUCUAGAUUCUUGAUCAAGAAAAUAUCAUCUAAUGAGUGAUUUAUAGUAGAUAAAUCUUUACUAGGAAUUACUAGUGUCUAGAAAAUCUAGGUUUAGUCCUAGAUUUUAGUGAUAAUGAAUGAUACAUUAUUUAAAGAAUAUAAUAAAUAUAAUUAAUUCUACAUUAUUUUAAAAAAUUCAGCGACAUCUUUUUAAAGUCGCUGCAACAGGCCAGUUUAAAAAACGCUGGUGGACAAAAUUUCCUAAAAUGUUUUCAAAGUCUGUUCCCAUCACUGAUUGAAGUUAAUGUUAAACUAUUGGUAGAGUUAGUGAGACAAAAAAUUCAAGUUCAAAAAUGGAGGCAUGUGUUUGUGCGUGCUAAAUAAAAACUUGAAUGUAAUAGCCACUAACUAUCAGAAAAAAAAUUUUAUUCUUCUUCUUCUUCUUGAAACUGUCAGUUAGAGUUGAGCCUUCGGCUAUUUGGAACUCUAGGCCAGCAAAAGUGAACAAUAGCUCUCUCACCUCACCAGCCUGAAUGAGAACAGUGUACACUGGCGGGUGGGUCAGACUCACGGCAAGAGGCCGCGUACACUAAGACCCCCGCCAUUUUCCUUUUCUAUACCAGGCUAACCAUGCGGGACACGCCAUUAAUGUAACAGCCCCUUGAGAAACAGCGCCUGGAUUGUGACAAGGUUGUGGGAGCUUUUUUACAACUCUGCGCAGUGCAAGAGGAUGCUCUCGCACCCCCUUAGGCACCCCCACGGGAGUCUUGUUUUGCUACCCUUUAACUUCGUUUCCUCCUACGAUGGUUUCCACCCGGGCACCACUAUGAGGCAGGGUAGCAUGCCCGGGAAAAAAAUUUGUAUCAAAUGAUGAUUAAUUUAUAUGUCAAGAUAAUGUCAAGAUUUUGUAACCACUUAUUAAUCUGCGUGUCAUGUGUUUAUCUCAAAUACCAACUAUCUUUAUUUUCCAACAAAGGAACCAAGGCCUUCUGAAAAUCCUAUUUUGAAAAUUGUUUUAUUUGGAUUCAUGUCAAAAUAUUUAAAAGAUCCAUUUUGUAUAAUUUAAAUAAUAAUUGUGAAAUUCAACUUGAUAUAGCCUAGAUUUUAGUCCUACUCAUAAUAUUCUGUAUGUAUAAAUGAUUAUUUUUUCAAUGAGGUUUAUAGGCAUAUUAGUCAAAUAUUGGAUAUGUAGCAUUAAACAAUAUAAAAUUUGUUUAUAGUAGGGGUGCACUGGAUAGUACUUUUUUAUAUCCGGCCGGAGCCGAAUACCUAAGUGUCUUGUAAAUAGCUUGUAUUGCUGAGCAUUUUACGAAACUGUUAAUAACAUACCUAUAUUUGUUUGUUUUUUUCUCCUUUUAUAUACCUUAUUGUUUUAAACUCUGUUACUGAUUGAUUUAUAAAAGGUUAACAGUAUAAACAAAAAUUAAUCUGUGUAGCAUGAGCGUGUCUGUAUGUAUGUACAAGGCCACCAACUAUAAAGGCUGUGUGUUGGAGGGUCAAUGUAAAAUAUGUUAGUAAAUAUUUAACUAGUUACUAAUGUAAAUCUCUCAUCUGGCUUGUAUGGUGGUUGGAUGUAUGUGUUCAAGAAUUUCUGACCAACAACUUGUAAUUUUAAGUCCAAAGACUGCUUCUGGAUUCAAGGGCAUAAUACUGAUAGCUGUUAGUUAAUAGUUGGAAUCUGAAGCGUUGUCGGUCAUAUAUUUAUUAAUCCAUUUGCGGCAAACGAUAUUUUAUUAACAGCAGGAACAUCUAUUAUACCUACUCAUAGCCAGAGCCUUAAAUGUUGCGAAACAUAGAUUUAAUUGUAGUCUGUAGGCCUUUUAUUGAUAUCUAUGCUUAGAUCUACUGUUAUAUAGAUCUAAGAGAAUUAGGAAAACCAAAAAAAACAAAAACAUAUUUGUUUUAUUUUAUUGUGCAACGAACGUUUGUUCAGCGCCCUAAAUGACAUUUCUCUCCAAGUAAACAAACUUAGUCUCAUCAUCUAGUUACCUCUAGACAGUGUCAAUAUUUCUCAACAAUCUGCGUUAAUCCAUUCUGGCUUAAGAAUGGUCAAUGUCUAUCAAUACAUUGUCAUGGAUUAAACAAAUAAGAAGUUGAGCAUGUUGAGUCUCUUGAGCCCUCCCUUAAAAGAUACCCCUGGUCAGUGUCUGUUUGGCUUGUAGUCCAGCCUCCUAAUUGAGACUUAAAGUAAACAAACUUAUUGUCCCGGCCAAAAGUAUAAAAGGUGUGGCAUGUGGUCCAGACCCUUGAUUGACAACCUAUCUCAUAAUAAACAAACUCAUACCAGAUUAACCUUAUAAAGAUUUGGCUUGUAGUCCCGCCCCUAAUAAAAAUUCUUCUCUAAGUAAACAAACUCAGUUCCCUCAUAAGAUGUGACCUCUGGAAAGUGUCAACACGUUGACAUCUGGCUUGAUGUGGUAAGCUGCCUAUCUGUGAACUCAAUGUUAUGGACUAUACAAACAAAAAGAGGUGGGGGUUGCUCAUCUCUACCUCUGGAGAUAUACCCGCACAUCUAGACAGAUUAUCAGCGUGGCGUAGUUAAGGAAUAUUACAUGUUUACUAGACCACUCAAAAGUCAAGACAAGCUUUUAAAAUGUGCAUGACAUCGUUGCUAUGUCUUAUAUUUUUGUGGAAAUAAAUUUUACUAUUGGAGUUUUUGUAGCUGCCAGAGUGGAUCAAGGUGGAUGUGAUAUCUAUUUAUAAACAUGUAUACCAGUAUAUUGUAAUCAGUGAUUUUCAUUUUUUGGUAACAGUUUGUUUCCAUUUAGAUUGCAGUCUUUCUUAUGUGAAAACAAGAUGUCUGCAUAAUCUUAGAGGACAUUUUUAAACUCAUUUAAAUUUAUUAGAUGAAAUAUUUAUAAAACAUACAAUGUAAAUUGUUUUGUAAAAUGAUUAUACAUUUGAGUUCAUAAAAAUGUGUAAUUUUUUAAUGGCAUCAUGUUUCUGCUUAUCUGUAUCUGAUACUGAUGAUGUGUUUUCUAAAUCUAUUACUGCUUCACCAUUGAGGAAAAACUGCACAUGUUUAAACCCAUAUCUGAAGUAACUUUCCAGAAAAAAAAAAGAUGUAUGUUGGACAGUGUCCAAAAUUUCAAAUUAUUUCCUUCAAAAUGUUAUCAAUUUCCUCCAUAACUUCAUAACAUUAUUGAAUUUUUUCCUUCAGAACACAAUUGUAAAUUAUCUUUUUUUUUUUUUUUUUUUUUUUUGUUAAACCACAAUGAGAGUCUAAUAACUAAUAGUCUAGCAAACAAUUACUUAUAAUUUGCCUUAUUAUUAUACAAUAUUAAGAUUUACUUCUGCAGGGAUGAAAAACUUUUUUUAAAAUACAAUAGACAUGUAUAAUAAUAAAGUACAUUCACACCUGACUCACUCAUAAUUUACAUGUGAAAAGUUUAUAUCAGAUUGUUUCUAUUUAAUGAUUUGAUUGCCAUCAGUGUCUUGUAUCUCUUUUGUGAUGGUAAAGUCACAAAAUGUAGGAAACCCCACUGUGUUUGGUCCAGUAUGUGGGUUAUUAUAUGUAAGUCUAUUGUAUUUUCUAUAUUAUUUUACAAAUGUAAAAAAAAUAAAAAGAAAUUGUUACACUGUU
Molecule: long non-coding RNA, 5256 nt
Organism: Biomphalaria glabrata
Lineage: Eukaryota; Metazoa; Mollusca; Gastropoda; Planorbidae
Exons: 2
Source: RefSeq, a predicted model, not a curated record